Long non-coding RNA from Serinus canaria (Common canary), 838 nucleotides. RefSeq lists it as uncharacterized. Lineage: Eukaryota; Metazoa; Chordata; Aves; Passeriformes; Fringillidae. The record is from RefSeq and is a predicted model, not a curated record. The transcript has 3 exons.
GCAGCUUGCUCUGACACCACGUCAAGGGGUGAGAGGGAGAAGCAGGGAGAGUUUGGGGUACAGAGGCAAGCAAGUGAUGUGGGGCUGCUGCAUUGCACCCUCCACAUCAGCAAGACAGUGGUGGGGCUUGCAAAGGAAGGGGCACAGCUGCAGAGAGCAGUGUCACAAUUUGUUUUGGUAGCUGCUGCAUCUCAAAUCUGUGUGCUGGAGUGCUGGUUUUUGCUGCCAAGGCUUGGCUGUGGUCAUGAAGGAGCUUGGGUAGGGCUGGGAUCAGGCUGAGACAUGAAGCUGUGUCCCUCAACAAGCAGGGCUGGGAUAGCAACAUUUCCACUUUCUAAUGAUAAGUCUUAUGAACUCUGGGUAACAGCAAGAUCACUGUGUGGGUGGAUUUAUGUUGAAAUUAACUUAUGUUUAAUCACAUACAGCACAUAGUUGGUUUUCUGUCUACUUUAACAGGGUCUGUUUCCUCCAAGGAUGGUACUUGCCUGGACUUGAACAACAAUUCAGAUUAAGAUCCCAUUGACAAUACCACCCGAUGCACCAGGAAUCUAAAUGACAUGUCCAGAUAUACAGAAGCCAGUAGAGAGAAGGUUAGAUUACAAUUGUUCUCUCAGUAUAUUCAGAAAUUCCUGGACCAAACUCUUCCUCAAUAUAAUUCCACUUGGACUGAUCAGGACGAAUUUAGCCUAGUGAUCCAAAAUCGGAGUCGGAUUCUUUCUCAGAUAAAGCAGAAUAUAUAUUAUGAAACUGAGGAGUAAGAGCAUAACUAAGGGACUCAAAAAACAAAGCCUCUCAUCUUUCUGACUUUAUUAAGGCAAAACUCCAACAGCUGUACCUC